AGCCCGGCCGGGGGCUCAUCCCGUUGGGCAGACAGCUGCCGAAAGGCGUUGCCUUCCAGCGUGGAGUUUAGAUCAUGGCCAGUCACGGCGGAGCUGAAGAACACCUGUCAGAGGCGUUUUUCUGCAGGGAGAUGGUCUCUUUCAUCAGAUUUCAUUGCACUCCAGAAAAAGAUUCGUUUUAAAAUCUGAGGAAUGGAGGCGUGAGCCAGGGACCGCAGGCCACCACCAGUCACCGGACAAGGCAAGAAACAGAUUCUCCUCUGCGGCCUCAGAAAGAACGAAGCUCUGCCGACACCCUGAUUUUUGUCCAGUGAGACCCAAUUUGGGCUUCUGACCUCCAGAACUCAGCGACAUUUCUUGAAAAUGCAGGAACCAUCCGGUUUGACUAGCAACACGAGGAAUUGGUGACUUUGCUCUUCUCGAGCUCCCAAGAAGAAAACUCCGUUUUUUUGUCUGCUCCCUCUGAGUUUUAUAGCUGCUUCUGCACAUCUAAAGCGCCUGACAUCUCAAGAACAUUUUAAUUUUGAAACUACUUUGAAUUCGUCUUUGGUUGUAAGAGAAUCAAAGAGGUACCUUAUUUACAUUUCAGAUGUGAGAAUUGAGGCUCAGAGAGAUUAAUUGAGGCUCAGAGAGAUUAAAUGACCUGCUCAAGUUUUGGGGCAUGGCCUGGUAAGGAAUAAACUCUAGCACUCCCUGCCUUUGCUUAAUUUUAAAUGGCAUCUAUAUAAGAUGGAAGAUACAGUUAUAAGUGUUUGUUUUUGCAACAAUUAUAUAUAUAUAUAUGAAGCUCUGAAAUUCUUUGUGCAGCUACUUUAUUUGCUUAUUCUAAGAUGUACUUUCUUGUCCUAUAUUUGUAUUUCAAACUGUGCUGCAUCUUGUAAUCAAUGGGGUAUCAUAAUCCGAUUGGCAGGGUUUUUGCCUUUUCUUAGUUGUUACAGCAGAUGGCUACUUAAAAUAUCCCAACUCUUCACCCCUCUCUAUCUCCAUGCCCUUUGCGAUGUCACUUUGCAACUCCUUGCAUCC
Molecule: non-coding RNA, 1023 nt
Organism: Miniopterus natalensis
Lineage: Eukaryota; Metazoa; Chordata; Mammalia; Chiroptera; Miniopteridae
Source: RefSeq, a predicted model, not a curated record